UCUGAUAUAGCUCAGUGGUAGAGCGCCCGGCUCUGGGACCGGGUGGACGCAGGUUCGAGCCCUGCUAUCAGAU
RNAcentral lists this transfer RNA (73 nucleotides) under Fulvivirga marina. It matches the Rfam family "tRNA". Rfam says of the family: Transfer RNA (tRNA) molecules are approximately 80 nucleotides in length. Lineage: Bacteria; Pseudomonadati; Bacteroidota; Cytophagia; Cytophagales; Fulvivirgaceae. The record is from Rfam by way of RNAcentral.